CGGGGUCUGAGGUAACCAGUACAGCUCUGGUAAAGGGCUGUGCUCAGGGCCUGAGGUAACCAGUACAGCUCUGGUAAAGGGCUGUGCUCAGGGCCUGAGGUAACCAGUACAGCUCUGGUAAAGGGCUGUGCUCGGGGUCUGAGGUAACCAGUACAGCUCUGGUAAAGGGCUGUGCUCAGGGCCUGAGGUAACCAGUACAGCUCUGGUAAAGGGCUGUGCUCAGGGCCUGAGGUAACCAGUACAGCUCUGGUAAAGGGCUGUGCUCAGGG
This is a long non-coding RNA of Brienomyrus brachyistius, 269 nucleotides long. RefSeq lists it as uncharacterized. NCBI's taxonomy places the organism in Eukaryota, Metazoa, Chordata, Actinopteri, Osteoglossiformes, Mormyridae. The transcript has 3 exons. The record is from RefSeq and is a predicted model, not a curated record.